Macrobrachium nipponense is the source of this 882-nucleotide long non-coding RNA. RefSeq lists it as uncharacterized. Lineage: Eukaryota; Metazoa; Arthropoda; Malacostraca; Decapoda; Palaemonidae. The transcript has 4 exons. The record is from RefSeq and is a predicted model, not a curated record.
CUUGGCUGUGAUGGUAACCGGAGGCUUCAAGGAAUCACCUUUGAUCCUCAUUUGCACCUGCAGAUCUGAACACGACUAUUUGGAACCUUUUCUCUACGUUCUGCUUCCUCUUGGUUCAAUUACGUUUAUUGCUACAGGUUGCUUCUGGACAGCGAUAAUAGUGACAGCCAAGCGUCAGGGUCGGGUGACAGCCACACGAGACGGCGCCGUUGAGAACGAGAGUAGCGUCGGCAGCUGUGCCCGCCCGAGGUGUCCCUGUCACAGCGAAGUUGAGCUUGUGACCAUAGCCAGGAGCUCCUCGCCUUUCUGUCCGCGAUGCGCUACAAAAGGCUGGUGGGCCACGUCGCCUAAGCCACAGAAUCGUACGCAGGCUUUAUUGUCCUCAGUCGGUCAGUGGACGGUUCCCCUAGUGAUGGGGGUUUCAAACAUGGACGCCUCGAAAGAGAAAACAAACCCUCCUCCUCCUCUGUCUUCUGAGCACCAUCUGUCCAUCACUUACACAGGAGAGAUGUCGACUUCGCCCUGCCCGUCCCCUGGACCAAAUUCUGUGGGAAACCACGAGGACACUUUCACCUUGGGGGGUAUCUACAUCGGCUCACUGGAGUCUCACAUCAGGACGCACCAAGCUUUCUGCAGCGGACUCAAUAUCCGUAGCCAAGGAUCCCAGACGGGUGAGACGGAAGUGAGUCCACCUGUCAUUGAAUGGCGAUUGAAUACCUCUCAUUCCUCUGAAAAAUUGAAAAAGCCCUCGCUGACUCAUGCAGAAGUCCAGUGCAACCCCAAGGAUUUCGUUGAUGCGUCCCAGGAUCAGCAGGCAGUGCACUACAUGUUGCAGUUGGCGGGAGAAGUCUGCGUCCGCGACGCAAGAACUCGAUUGGCAGG